Molecule: unclassified non-coding RNA, 164 nt
Filed under: uncultured Ascomycota
Lineage: Eukaryota; Fungi; Ascomycota
Description: sequence contains ITS1
Source: RNAcentral
AAAGCGAAGCCGCGCCUUCCAGGCCGGAUUCUCAUACCACUGUGUACCAAACUCUUCGUUGCUUCGGUGGGGGACGCAAGUCCCGGUGCCUACCCGGCACACCCACCGGGGUUUUUUUAAAACUUCUGUUGACGAACGUCUGAUUUUAUUUUCAAAUGAAAAUA